GCGCGACAAAGGCAAACCGGCCGAAAGACCGGGACGCAAAGCCAGGAGGCUAAAGCGGACACAGUGUCCGCCAUGCCGGUCCGGCCGCCGCA
Non-coding RNA from Pseudoflavonifractor capillosus ATCC 29799, 92 nucleotides. NCBI's taxonomy places the organism in Bacteria, Bacillati, Bacillota, Clostridia, Eubacteriales, Oscillospiraceae. The record is from Rfam.